Long non-coding RNA from Lutra lutra (Eurasian river otter), 2022 nucleotides. RefSeq lists it as uncharacterized. The transcript is spliced from 3 exons. Lineage: Eukaryota; Metazoa; Chordata; Mammalia; Carnivora; Mustelidae. The record is from RefSeq and is a predicted model, not a curated record.
CUCCUACAGGGCAAACCUCUAAUUAAACAAAUUGUCAAUUUCAACACAAUGAAAACUGAUUUAGGAGUGUAAAUUUAGUAUUCUAGUCACCGAAAAUAAAACCUCACAUCGUCAGCCUCGUACAGGCUGAUUUCCUCGGAUAGGGACGCAGAGGACAGGAAGACAACGUGAGAAAGGGGCCAAGCCCAGAAGGAAGAACGAGCAAGCGCAUUUCAUCCUUUCCUAAAUAACAUCUCCGCAAAGUCAGUGUGGCCUGUUCUCAGCAGCGAGAAGCUCUCGUCUUGCCUCCUCCUUCACCCCACCCCUACCAGAUUAGGAAAAAAAAAAAAAAAAAAAAUUAAUCGUGUAUGAUGACAAACUUGGCUCAGCACUCACUGUACACACUGUACCCACAAGGCUGGCUCCCCGCCAGGCCUGGCCCUAAGCCAGAACUACAAUAACAAACACAGGCCAUGCUAGCCAAGAGGGGGUUGGGGGCAGCCAGCUCGCGAGCAAGGAAGUGUGAGAGGAGCACCGUUCAGCUCCGCCUAGCAGAAGAAAACAGCAGGAAUGUACCUGCCCAGGGCAGCAACAACAUUUAGGGGAAGCCAGGAGCACCGUGACCCGCACCCAGAUCCCAGGCUCACGCCUCCAGGGCCUGCCCCUUUAAAAAAAAAAAAAAAAAAAAGUCUCCACAGUUCUGGGGCUAAAUGGCCUGCUGUUUUAGGCUCUAUAGGGCCGCUCCAACCCUUGACGAGUCUGCAAAGUGGGUCGUCAGCACUGCACACCCUCAGGAGCCCCUCUUGCUGGAGGUUCCUAGGAGGGAGCCUUCAAAACCCAGCAGCAAGAAAAUCUCCUGUCAUCUAACCGAGGUCGCCUCUAAAACAUCCCAGGGUUCUGUUAUCAUGCAACUGGCAGAGGAAUCAGAAUGUGCAGAAUCCUGCUUCUGCCACUGGCCCCCAAGAGAAGGCCUGGCACGCCCAGCCCAGCCCUCCAACACCGACCCCCCGAGAUCCCCCUCCCCCGGGUAGGCCGUCCCAGCUUCUCAGGGGGUGCAAACAGCUCAGGAAGCGGUCUAGCCUCUCUAAGCCCUUGUUGCUAUUUUCUUUUCAAGACAUCCCAGCACAGGGUGAGAGGUAUGCAGGACGGCAGAAAGCAGCCACAGAGAAUAGAAGUAUCAGAGUCUCAGAAGGCUGCGAGCCAUCUGCAAAGGCGAAUUCAAGCAUGAUUAUGACCCUCACACCUCCCCCGUCACCAAAUCUCUUUAUCAAGGGUGUUGGCAAGUGCACCGCAGAGAGCCAAGUCACCCGGCACGAUCAGAUAUCAGUGCCGAGUAAGAGAGGUACGGAGAGGAGAGCCUGGGGAGACAGGACCCAGCUCUCAAAGCUGCUGGGGGCAUUGGGCUGAGACCAUAGGACCACGCAGUGGUAUCUCAGCCAGGAUGGGAGUGCAGGUCCUCAGGUGGCCACUGGCCGUAGAGGGGUGGUGCAAAGCCACUCAUCUUGCCUGAACUGGGGGCUCUGGGCCCCCCUGCACGUGGGAGGGACCCAGCAGGAGACUAGAGCUCCCCGACAUGCUCCCCCAACUGCUCUCAUUCAUCUGACCAGUUACCUAGCAACUCCAGCAAUGGGCCAGGCAAUGUGCCGCUCAUAACGGGGACAGACCCUGUCCCCACUUGCUUACAGUCUAUCAGAGGAGCUAGGGAGAGGGAAAUUCUAUUUCCAGAGAGCUGAUCGGGCAUUAGGCCCAGGGCUAAGGGUCCAAUGUGAGCCUCACAACGUCUCUGAGAGAGUUAAGAGCUCCCAUCUUACAGAUGAGGAUACAAAAAAGCUUUCAUUUCUCGCCCAAGAGCACAUGGUGAAGGAGGACGCUGGAGGGACCCGCCUUCCAGUAUCAGCAGCCCCCACCAGGAUAAGUAUCCUCAACCACACCCUUGGACUCUCCAUCUCUUCUCCCUGAUGGUUCCAGAUCAAAUCUCUCGAUCCAGACCCCGAUGAACACUUUCUGGAUAGUCCCACUGCCUUCUCUCUGGAUGUGAAUGGA